This 406-nucleotide ribosomal RNA is filed under the name uncultured bacterium. RNAcentral describes it as "partial 16S ribosomal RNA". It matches the Rfam family "Bacterial small subunit ribosomal RNA", at positions 29 to 526 of the family's 1533-position model. The record is from RNAcentral.
AUUGAACGCUGGCGGCAGGCCUAACACAUGCAAGUCGAGCGAGCGGCGGACGGGUGAGUAAUGUCUGGGAAACUGCCGGAUGGAGGGGCAUAACUACUGGAAACGGUAGCUAAUAACGCAUACCAUCAGAUGUGCCCAGGUGGGAAUAGCUGGUAGGUGGGGUAACGGCUCACCUAGGCGACGAUCCCUAGCUGGUCUGAGAGGAUGACCAGCCACACUGGGACUGAGACACGGUCCAGACUCCUACGGGAGGCAGCAGUGGGGAAUAUUGCACAAUGGGCGAAAGCCUGAUGCAGCCAUGCCGCGUGUGUGAAGAAGGCCUUCGGGUUGUAAAGCACUGUCAGCGGGGAGGCGUUACCCGCAGAAGAAGCACCGGCUAACUCCGUGCCAGCCGCCGCGGUAAUAC